GCUCAACCGAGGAAGUGCUUCGAAAACUGGUAAACUUGAGUGCAGAAGAGGAAAGUGGAACUCCAUGUGUAGCGGUGGAAUGCGUAGAUAUAUGGAAGAACACCAGUGGCGAAGGCGGCUUUCUGGUCUGUAACUGACGCUGAGAUUCGAAAGCAUGGGUAGCAAACAGGAUUAGAUACCCUGGUAGUCCAUGCCGUAAACGAUGAGUGCUAAGUGUUGGAGGGUUUCCGCCCUUCAGUGCUGCAGCUAACGCAUUAAGCACUCCGCCUGGGGAGUACGAUCGCAAGAUUGAAACUCAAAGGAAUUGACGGGGGCCCGCACAAGCGGUGGAGCAUGUGGUUUAAUUCGAAGCAACGCGAAGAACCUUACCAGGUCUUGACAUACCAUGAAAAGCUAAGAGAUUAGUCUUUCCCUUCGGGGACCUGGAUACAGGUGGUGCAUGGUUGUCGUCAGCUCGUGUCGUGAGAUGUUGGGUUAAGUCCCGCAACGAGCGCAACCCUUAUUAUCAGUUGCCAGCAUUCAGUUGGGCACUCUGGUGAGACUGCCGGUGACAAACCGGAGGAAGGUGGGGACGACGUCAAAUCAUCAUGCCCCUUAUGACCUGCGCUACACACGUGCUACAAUGGUCGGUACAACG
RNAcentral lists this ribosomal RNA (637 nucleotides) under uncultured bacterium. RNAcentral describes it as "bacterial SSU rRNA". It matches the Rfam family "Bacterial small subunit ribosomal RNA", at positions 607 to 1244 of the family's 1533-position model. The record is from RNAcentral.